RNAcentral lists this ribosomal RNA (125 nucleotides) under Sebacina sp. Its description in RNAcentral is "partial small subunit ribosomal RNA". It matches the Rfam family "Eukaryotic small subunit ribosomal RNA", at positions 1657 to 1779 of the family's 1831-position model. Lineage: Eukaryota; Fungi; Basidiomycota; Agaricomycetes; Sebacinales; Sebacinaceae. The record is from RNAcentral.
CCUUUGUACACACCGCCCGUCGCUACUACCGAUUGAAUGGCUUAGUGAGGUCUUCGGAUUGGCUUUAUGGACCCGGCAACGGGACCGUGUUGCUGAGAAGUUGAUCAAACUUGGUCAUUUAGAGG